RNAcentral lists this ribosomal RNA (1533 nucleotides) under Campylobacter lari. RNAcentral's name for it is "partial 23S ribosomal RNA". It matches the Rfam family "Bacterial large subunit ribosomal RNA", at positions 1 to 1560 of the family's 2925-position model. The record is from RNAcentral. Lineage: Bacteria; Pseudomonadati; Campylobacterota; Epsilonproteobacteria; Campylobacterales; Campylobacteraceae.
AGGUAAGCUAUUAAGAGCGAAUGGUGGAUGCCUUGGCUGGUAAAGGCGAUGAAGGACGUACUAGACUGCGAUAAGCUACGGGGAGCUGUCAAGAAGCUUUGAUCCGUAGAUUUCCGAAUGGGGCAACCCAGUAUAUAGAGAUAUAUACUACCAUAAUGGAGCGAACGUAGGGAAUUGAAACAUCUUAGUACCUACAGGAAAAGAAAUCAAUAGAGAUUGCGUCAGUAGCGGCGAGCGAAAGCGCAAGAGGGCAAACCCAGUGCUUGCACUGGGGGUUGUAGGACUGCAAUGUGCAAUAGGUAAGGUUAGUAGAACACUCUGGAAAGUGUAGCCAUAGAGGGUGAUAGUCCCGUAUACGAAAACCAAACCUUAGCUAGCAGUAUCCUGAGUAGGGCGGGACACGAGGAAUCCUGUCUGAAGCUGGGUCGACCACGAUCCAACCCUAAAUACUACUACCAGACCGAUAGUGCACAAGUACCGUGAGGGAAAGGUGAAAAGAACUGAGGUGAUCAGAGUGAAAUAGAACCUGAAACCAUUUGCUUACAAUCAUUCAGAGCACUAUGUAGCAAUACAGUGUGAUGGACUGCCUUUUGCAUAAUGAGCCUGCGAGUUGUGGUGUCUGGCAAGGUUAAGCACACGCGAAGCCGUAGCGAAAGCGAGUCUGAAUAGGGCGCUUAAGUCAGAUGCUGCAGACCCGAAACGAAGUGAUCUAUCCAUGAGCAAGUUGAAGCUAGUGUAAGAACUAGUGGAGGACUGAACCGAUAGGCGUUGAAAAGCCCCCGGAUGACUUGUGGAUAGGGGUGAAAGGCCAAUCAAACUUCGUGAUAGCUGGUUCUCUCCGAAAUAUAUUUAGGUAUAGCGUUGUGUCGUAGUAUAAGGGGGUAGAGCACUGAAUGGGCUAGGGCAUACACCAAUGUACCAAACCCUAUCAAACUCCGAAUACCUUAUAUGUAAUCACAGCAGUCAGGCGGCGAGUGAUAAAAUCCGUCGUCAAGAGGGAAACAACCCAGACUACCAGCUAAGGUCCCUAAAUCUUACUUAAGUGGAAAACGAUGUGAAGUUACUUAAACAACCAGGAGGUUGGCUUAGAAGCAGCCAUCCUUUAAAGAAAGCGUAAUAGCUCACUGGUCUAGUGAUUUUGCGCGGAAAAUAUAACGGGGCUAAAGUAAGUACCGAAGCUGUAGACUUGAUUUUAUCAAGUGGUAGGAGAGCGUUCUAUUUGCGCCGAAGGUAUACCGGUAAGGAGUGCUGGAGCGAAUAGAAGUGAGCAUGCAGGCAUGAGUAGCGAUAAUUAAUGUGAGAAUCAUUAACGCCGUAAACCCAAGGUUUCCUACGCGAUGCUCGUCAUCGUAGGGUUAGUCGGGUCCUAAGUCGAGUCCGAAAGGGGUAGACGAUGGCAAAUUGGUUAAUAUUCCAAUACCAACAUUAGUGUGCGAUGGAAGGACGCUUAGGGCUAAGCAAGCUAGCGGAUGGAAGUGCUAGUCUAAGGUCGUAGGAGGUUAUAUAGGCAAAUCCGUAUAACAAUACUCCGAG